Long non-coding RNA from Bombus pascuorum, 3318 nucleotides. RefSeq lists it as uncharacterized. NCBI's taxonomy places the organism in Eukaryota, Metazoa, Arthropoda, Insecta, Hymenoptera, Apidae. The record is from RefSeq and is a predicted model, not a curated record. The transcript has 2 exons.
GUGGCGUUAAAUCACGCAGGCAAAUGAUGCUGACCGCUAUUUUCACGCGUUGCACCGCGUCAUACGCACCGAACUGAAUGGACCGACGCGUCACGACGCCUUCUUAUUGUUCAUAAAUAGUCCUGCCUGCGGUUUCGCACUCGUCCACGAUCUCUUGUGAAUCAAACUAUGUGGAAUGUUUUCUCGAGAUCCAUCGAGCGACGAGGAGUGCGGAUGAUCCGCGCCGUAGCUAUAGCUACGGACGAAAACGUAGGAGGACUGAAUCACGCUCUACUCGGCCAAACCGGGUAAAUAAGAACCCUCGUCCGUAUCGAAUCGCGUGCAUGAAUAAUCUUUGCAGGAAAUUCGCGAAAAAUCCUAACGGAGGAUGCGAUUGAAUUUGAACGUGCGUCCGUGAAAAUUUCCAAACGUUUCCCCAUACCUAUGAAAGAAUUCCGUUACUCCUCCUUAUUAUAAAUUCCAGGCUUGAUUACCGGCGAAUGAGAUAGAUAGAGAACGUGGAAGCAGCCAUCUCUCUGGCUCCACCUCGUGCAAAGAUCGAAAAAUCCAAAAUGAUUUAGCAGAGCGAACGAGAUGAUCGACAAAGACGAUCUCUUUUCAGUCUCCGAUCGACUUUUACUCCGCAAUAGUCGUGAAAUAAAGAAAUCUACGAACAGCAACGUUAAAAUGUUAAAACGAAAUUAAACGGCGAUGAGAACGUAAAAGCACGUAGAAGAGAGCGGAGAAGACCGGUGUUGAUGACAAAGUGUGUCAAUGUCAAAUUGUUCGAGCCUCCAGACGAUAUUUCAGGCUUCUCUUACAGAGAGCGAAUCGUCGAUCUUUUCGUCUGUGUUUCUCUCAAACGUUCACCGAAUUCUUAAGUUUCUCGUCGGUCUUGCGUGGGAGAACGUGGUUAACAUGACGUCACCUAUGUGGGGGUUUUACUGAUCGAUAAAACGCGUCACAAUCGUCGCUAAUAUGGAUUGGUCUUACGUCCAUUCGUUACGUAGCGAGUUGUCGCUGUACGUGUUGCUCAAUCCCGAGGUCAUCAUGUUGGAAGCGUCGUUUCGAUUUCACCAUUUUGGGACAAAUCCAUUAUGCAACAGCAUUGAAUGGGGAUUACUGGGAAACUAAAAAAAUGAAAUUUUCAUAUAUAUAUAUAUAUAUAUAUAUAUAUAUAUAUAUAUAUAUAUUAGAUCGUUAAUAGAAAACUUUUACACUCACUCUUUUGGUAUCAAGAAGAAAGAAGGGUCAUAAAGUUUCUCAGUAGCCUGUACAACGUUAACUACGAUUAAAAGAAAUUUAUUUACUUUCGCUUUGAAGAGGAAUUUCUACUCGAACAAUAGGAAAUAUGUACAGAAUCUGAAUCUAAGAAUAGAUUAAAACAGGAAACGAGCAUGUAUCGUAACUUUGCCACGAAAAACGAUUUUUACCACGCGUUUAAAAGAGCCAAUUUCCUAAGCUUCCAGCUUAUGUCGAAAUUGAGUUACUCGUGCAACACAAUUCGUUGAAUAAUUACAUUGUUAUGCCAGACAAGGAGACAGAAGCGAAACAGCUUGCCAGGCAAUUAUAUGUAGCGUGGCAUGCAGAAGAAAACAACUAAACGGAGGUUGUAGAAAAGAUAGUACAUACUAUACAUACACCUCUUCGACACUACUGACUAUUAAUAGCUGACAAAGUCCGACAGAGAGCCAUAUCCGAGGCCAGAUUCGAUCCAAGGAAUUCUUUAAUCGUUCGACCCUUUCGACCGUCAUUCUUCCACCAUUCAAUGUCGAGGGUACCGCGCGAAUUUUCUUCGCCUUUCUCCGCGCCAAGUUCCUCCGAUAUCAUAAAGAACCGGAGAACGGAAACCAACGAAAACCAAAAGUUUUAAAAAUUGAUUCAAAAACUUUUGAGAAGCGAUAAACGACUCUGUGGACGUAUCUUAAAUUUUGCAUAAACUCAUCUAGAAAAUAGUUUGUCUCGAAAAUAAUUUCCUAGCUUUUAGGACAACAAGAGUAAACCAAAGUUUCAUUACGUUAAUUAACGUUAAUUAAUGUUACACGAGCAAACAAAGAGAGAACCGUUCUUUGUUCCAGACGUUCGCGCGGUUAGAUUACAAAUAAUUUGUUAGAGUGGACAGUAGGUGUUGAUAACACAACCGAGAUGGUAAAAGAUAAUUUCAUUCAAUACUUCGGUAGCAAACAGGCAAUGAGCGCUUAAUAGUCAUUUGUACUUGGCUUACUUAGAACGAUUGAACGAGGAGGUUGACUUGACUGGUGUCGUGGUACGACGACUUCGCAUCGCCACUACUGACUUGAGUACAAAUGGGGACUUGAGGUUAACGCGCCAUGAUGUCACUCUCUGAUAUCAUAGUGUCCAUCUUUUAUUCAGUAAAAUUGCCGAGCCUUCGACCAGAUUGUUCCCUCAAUUUCAAUCUUCACGAUAAUUCAGUAGCACGUGUAUAUGGUCGGCACGUGUGACGUGACAUACUGUAUAUUCUAUACACGAUACAUCGUAUAUAUAACUAACGAAACACUCGAUUAUAUUUAAUGUUUAAUAAUAUUACGUGCAUAAUAUUACGUCUAAUGUACCAUUAACGGUUGAAAGAAAAUUUCAAGGGAAAUUGUAAAUAAAACAACUGUAAUAACAUCAGGCGAGUUUACCAUAUCAGGAAGGAUAAAUAUUAUAGCGCCGAAUUUUCAACCAUUUCUUUGCAAACUUGUGAAACUUGAUCCUAACCGGUUUGUUGUAACAUUCGCGCUACGUGAAUUUGCAAUACGAUCCGGCUGCAACUACUUAUAGCAUUCACGCACGUUUGUAUUUGCUGUAUACACGAUCUAUAGCUCAAAUGAAUUUUUAGUGCUUAAAUUCUCGGCGCUCGGUAUUUGCGCACAAACGUACCCAUUACAUCAAGACAUCUAAAUAUUAUUAUCAAUGAAACAUGGUAGCAUAGAGGAUAACUUUCUUUUUUCUUUUAAACCGUUUAUUUAUAUAGAUCGCAUUGACAAUGUCAUAUUUGAUAUCGAUGGUCGAUGAUCAUCCUUCAUUUUGCUACACGUGCGUGAAAACAAUGUUAGUACACGCGAAUAAACGUAGCCAUAUAGCCAAUGUCACUGCCACGAAUAAACUGACAAUAUGUAAUGCGAUGACAGGUGCCCGUAAUAUACUCGGUCAAUUGUGCAAGAGUAAUUUCUUUGUAAUUUGCUUUUCUUAGUACACUCUGAUAUUAUAACUUUUCCAUUGAAACCUUCGACACUGACAAGCAAAUAAGUAUCUUAAUAUUUCAUUCAGCUGUAUCUACUAAACAACGACAAUGUAAAUAAGUCUGUAAGAAAUAUAAAUACGACGUUAUUACUC